CAGCCGCCGCGGUAAUACCAGCCCCGCGAGUGGUCGGGACGGUUAUUGGGCCUAAAGCGCCCGUAGCCGGCCCGGCAAGUCCCUCCUUAAAGCCUCGGGCCCAACCCGAGGACGGGGGGGAUACUGCCGGGCUAGGGGGCGGGAGAGGCCGGCGGUACUCCCGGGGUAGGGGCGAAAUCCGUUAAUCCCGGGAGGACCACCAGUGGCGAAGGCGGCCGGCUGGAACGCGCCCGACGGUGAGGGGCGAAAGCCGGGGGAGCGAACCGGAUUAGAUACCCGGGUAGUCCUGGCUGUAAACGAUGCGGACUUUGUGUCGGACAAGCUAUGAGCUUGUCCGGUGCCGGAGGGAAACCGUUAAGUCCGCCGCCUGGGGAGUACGGCCGCAAGGCUGAAACUUAAAGGAAUUGGCGGG
This 412-nucleotide ribosomal RNA is filed under the name uncultured microorganism. RNAcentral describes it as "bacterial SSU rRNA". It matches the Rfam family "Archaeal small subunit ribosomal RNA", at positions 459 to 872 of the family's 1478-position model. The record is from RNAcentral.